GAUGAAGAACGUAGCGAAAUGCGAUAAGUAAUGUGAAUUGCAGAAUUCAGUGAAUCAUCGAAUCUUUGAACGCACAUUGCGCCCGCCAGUAUUCUGGCGGGCAUGCCUGUUCGAGCGUCAUUUCAACCAUCAAGCCCCCCGGCUUGUGUUGGGGACCUGCGGCUGCCGCAGGCCCUGAAAAGCAGAGGCGGGCUCGCUGUCACACCGAGCGUAGUAGAUCUCAUCUCGCUCAGGGCGUGCUGCGGGUUCCGGCCGUUAAACCACCUUCAUAACCCAAGAUUGACCUCUGAUCAGGUAGGAAGACCCGCUGAACUUAAGCAUAUCAAUAAGCGGAGGA
Molecule: unclassified non-coding RNA, 337 nt
Filed under: soil metagenome
Description: partial contains 5.8S ribosomal RNA, internal transcribed spacer 2, and large subunit ribosomal RNA
Rfam family: 5.8S ribosomal RNA (bases 1-120)
Source: RNAcentral